CGCUGGCGGCAGGCCUAACACAUGCAAGUCGAGCGGAAACGAGUUAUCUGAACCUUCGGGGGACGAUAACGGCGUCGAGCGGCGGACGGGUGAGUAAUGCCUAGGAAAUUGCCCUGAUGUGGGGGAUAACCAUUGGAAACGAUGGCUAAUACCGCAUGAUGCCUACGGGCCAAAGAGGGGGACCUUCGGGCCUCUCGCGUCAGGAUAUGCCUAGGUGGGAUUAGCUAGUUGGUGAGGUAAGGGCUCACCAAGGCGACGAUCCCUAGCUGGUCUGAGAGGAUGAUCAGCCACACUGGAACUGAGACACGGUCCAGACUCCUACGGGAGGCAGCAGUGGGGAAUAUUGCACAAUGGGCGCAAGCCUGAUGCAGCCAUGCCGCGUGUGUGAAGAAGGCCUUCGGGUUGUAAAGCACUUUCAGUCGAGAGGAAGGUAGUGUAGUUAAUAGCUGCAUUAUUUGACGUUAGCGACAGAAGAAGCACCGGCUAACUCCGUGCCAGCAGCCGCGGUAAUACGGAGGGUGCGAGCGUUAAUCGGAAUUACUGGGCGUAAAGCGCAUGCAGGUGGUUUGUUAAGUCAGAUGUGAAAGCCCGGGGCUCAACCUCGGAAUUGCAUUUGAAACUGGCAGACUAGAGUACUGUAGAGGGGGGUAGAAUUUCAGGUGUAGCGGUGAAAUGCGUAGAGAUCUGAAGGAAUACCGGUGGCGAAGGCGGCCCCCUGGACAGAUACUGACACUCAGAUGCGAAAGCGUGGGGAGCAAACAGGAUUAG
RNAcentral lists this ribosomal RNA (768 nucleotides) under uncultured Gammaproteobacteria bacterium. RNAcentral describes it as "bacterial SSU rRNA". It matches the Rfam family "Bacterial small subunit ribosomal RNA", at positions 34 to 781 of the family's 1533-position model. Lineage: Bacteria; Pseudomonadati; Pseudomonadota; Gammaproteobacteria. The record is from RNAcentral.